AAGAAAAAUAAUAGUGCCCAAUACAUGCAACUUCAACAAAUACAAGUACAUAAGAAGAUCUCCAUAAUUUAGAAAAUCCUAGUUAACAUUAGCCAAAAUAGAUCUCCAUAAUUUACAAAAUGGCUAGUUAACAUAAGCCAAAAUACUAGUGCAAAGCUAAGUUAUAAGCCAUAACAUAAGAUUGUAUGAUUAAUAAAAUACAUCCAUGUUAACAUUAAUAAAAUACAUCCAUGUUAACAUUAGCCAAAAUCCUCAUCCGCUUGCGUUGUCGCUUAAAAGCCUUUGGACGAACACUUUCUUGAGUUCCGGUUUGAUUGCCCUGAACACUCCCACAUUUUUUGGUUUAUCCAAAAUAAGAGACAAUGCAUCAAUUUGAUCCAUAGGAGAGAGACCCAUUGCUUCAAGUUCAUUAGCUAUGUCAGUAUGAUCUGCAGUACCUUGAACUAAAGCUUCAGUUACCAUUUGCAUCCUCUUCCCACUUUCAACAUAAAAAUCUUUCAGUCCACUGAUAAUUGCCUCGGUUCCAUCACUUGAACUUCCCACAGCUCUUUUCCUCUUUCUUUGGCUAUUUUCAGAUGGGGUGCUUUGUUGGCUUUUGUUGGUUCAUUGAAGAAACAAAAUUUUCACCUCCAAUAUCACUUUCACCAACAUGAUCAUAACUUUGUUCCUCCACCAUUUGAGCAGGGGUUUCGGCUACAUUACCCGUAGCCCGAUCUUUUCCAAAUAUAUAUGCAAAUCUAUCAAACAGUGGAAAAGGUUUGCUUCUCCAUCCAUCGGCUUCUUUAUUUCUCUAAGAUUAUAUCAACAUAGCAAAACUAAAAUUUAGCAUGCGUAACAAAUAUAGCAGCAAUAAUAUAACUAAUGUAUAAAUAAAAUAGGAUAUGAACCUGCACAUAAGUUUGCCAUGAGUCAUCACUGUCAACUUCAACGCACUUUUUGACAUCAUUCCAUGCAAAUCCACUUGUGUUUAUCAUGUCAACGACCAUACUAUAUGUUUUUUUUUCCAUUUCUUCAACUUGGACUCAAUAUGUAGAUUUGCCUUUAUAUUUGAAUGAGGACAUAAAACAUUGACAGCUUUUGCUAUUUCAACCAAAGUACCUUGUUUGAAAGCACCGGUGUCACACCGUUGCUUCCGAGCAACAAAAUCCUCAAGAACUCCUAGUAAUACUUCUUCCUCAAAUGCUUCCCAUUUACGCCUUCUUCCUUUUGGCUCUUGAGUAGCAUUCAAAAUAUUUUCGUUAUCCAUACCUAAACAAAAAAUAUUUUAAUGAAGGAAAAUACCAUACAAAUAAUCAAUCUGCAUAAUAUCCAAUCAACUUACAUAAUAUCCAAUCAACUUGCAUAAUAUCCAAUUAAUUUGCAUACCAUCCAAUCAUUGUGCUAAUAUCUAACAAAUGCAUGAUAAAAAGGAAUACUAAAAUAAAAUGUUAUCAUUAACACAUAUAGCUAGUUCGGUUGCUGGUUCCUAAUUGCUCUCCACUCGUUAUACAUUUCCUGAGCCAUAUCAUUCCUCUUUGCAGUCCACUGGUCAGAUGUUUGAACACUACCAACAUAUUCACCUUCUUCUGUAUUUUGUCCAUCUUCUAUUAUUGGCAAAUUCUCCAUUGGAUCUACAGACAUCUCUUGCCUAAUAAGAUUGUGUAGUAGGCAACAAGCGGUAAUUAUUCGACCUUGUGUCCUUAUCGGAUAGAAAGAUGGACUCCUUAGUAUCGACCACCUUCCUUUUAGCAAGCCAAAACAGCGUUCAAUUACAUUCCUUGCCUUAGAAUGAUUCAUGUUAAAAUAUUCUUCCUUAUUAGAAGGUGUUCGUCCCUCCCAUUCAGAUAAAUGAUAAGGUAUUCCUCUAUAGGGUGCAAGGAAUCCUUCACCAUUUGUAUAACCACCAUCUACAAGGUAAUAAUAACCUAAUGAAAAAAAAAACAGACCUUAUUAGUGUUUUGUAGUUGACAAACAGAACUAGACCUAACUUACAAAGUUGAGACUAAGUAAUAGUCUUACCCGCUGGUACCUUAAAACCAUUAGGCAUAGUAAUUGCAUCAUGUAGCACUCUAGAGUCUGAUGCGGAACCCUCCCACCCCAGAAACACAUAUAUGAACUGCAUAUCUCCUGAACACACACCUAACACAUUAGUUGCGACUCGACCCUUUCUUGUUCGGUAUCUUGGUUUGUCAAUUUCAGGUACAUGCACAUCAAUGUGUGUUCCAUCCAAUGCUCCCAAACAAUUCUUAAAAAAAAAAAAAAAAAAAAAAAGUUUUUGUUAAUUUAUACAAAGGGAAUGAAGAGUUAAAGCUUAGGGAAAAUGAAAAAAAAUUCUCAUCAUACCUUAAAACAUCGCCACCUAGGAUCUGUAGAAUCAAUAGGCACAGGCUGUGGGACUUUCAGUAGGAUACCUUGUAAUCGCAAAAUUCCUUGCAAUACGCUAUUAAAAUACCUACUUAUAGUCUCUCCCGACCUAUAAAAUCUACCGCCAACACUACGAUUCUUAGUAUGAUGUGCUAAUAUUUGUAAAGUCAUACACACCUGCUCCUCUACAGACACCAAACCAUCAGUUUUUACCCUCACAUCUUGACGAAGUAAGUCACAUAAUAUGUCAAAAGUCCUUCUAUCCAUUCUCAAUUCGUUGACACAUUCAGUAUCAGUAUUCCCUAUUAUACCAUUCAGAUAACACAAACUAAUCUCUCGUCUAAUAAGUGAACGGUUAGUCAAUGUGGGUCGUUCAACAUGUCUCUGUUUGCCACGUAGCAUCAUCAACACAAGAAUCGUACAAAUGCAAAUUGUCUCCAAAUAAGACAUCUCUAACAAUAAGAUCAAUAAAAGCUUCCUUCGAUCCAUAUCUAUCCAAACAAAAAAAAAAACAAAAAACAAAUUAAGGACAUUAUAUAUGUAAUAUUUACUGUUAUUAAGGGUGAUGGAAAUGAAGUGAUUAUGAUACGAAAUGAACUAGAUCAAAGUAACUAGCGAAGUCACAAUCCGAGGCAUCAAAUAUACGGGUGGUGUUGGAAAAAAAAAGCUAUCAUUAACCCGAGGCAACAAAUAUACAGGUGGCGUUGAAAAAAAAAAUUAUCAUUAACCCGAGGCAACAAAUAUACAGGUGGCGUUGAAAAAAAAAAAGUUAUCAUUAACCCGAAGCAUCAUAUUCAAAAUGUUCUACUCUUAUACAUCUAUAAACAUGUGUCUAAGAACACUAGUAUGAGGAUUGCUAUCAUUGCUAGGCAUUGCAUAUGAAGAGGGAAAUUAAAGGACACCUGUAAUGCAGUAGCCUUAGCCUUAGCCUUCUGUUUAUGCUCCUCUUCU
Molecule: long non-coding RNA, 3294 nt
Filed under: Malus domestica (apple)
Lineage: Eukaryota; Viridiplantae; Streptophyta; Magnoliopsida; Rosales; Rosaceae
Description: long non-coding RNA (MDOM_LNC001199)
Source: RNAcentral